GUUUUAAUAAUUUAAUAUAAAAUAUUGGUCUUGUAAACCAAAAAUGAAACUAAUCUUAAAACU
This 63-nucleotide transfer RNA is filed under the name Kaestneriella sp. KaspPE. Its description in RNAcentral is "tRNA-Thr". Lineage: Eukaryota; Metazoa; Arthropoda; Insecta; Psocodea; Peripsocidae. The record is from RNAcentral.